AUACGUAGGGGGCGAGCGUUGUCCGGAAUGAUUGGGCGUAAAGGGCGCGUAGGCGGCUUUGCAAGUCAGUAGUGGAGGUCCAUUUUUCAAGGAUGGAAGUGCUACAGAAACUGCGGAGCUUGAGUGCAGGAGAGGUUAUCGGAAUUCCCGGUGUAGCGGUGAAAUGCGUAGAGAUCGGGAGGAACACCAGUGGCGAAGGCGGGUAACUGGACUGCAACUGACGCUGAGGCGCGAAAGUGUGGGGAGCAAACAGGAUUAGAUACCCUGGUAGUCCACACUGUAAACGAUGAAUGCUAGGUGUAGGAGGUAUCGACCCCUUCUGUGCCGCAGUAAACACAGUAAGCAUUCCGCCUGGGGAGUACGGUCGCAAGAUUAAAACUCAAAUGAAUUGACGGGG
Molecule: ribosomal RNA, 397 nt
Filed under: uncultured bacterium
Lineage: Bacteria
Description: partial 16S ribosomal RNA
Rfam family: Bacterial small subunit ribosomal RNA
Source: RNAcentral